GCCUCAAUGGUCUAAUGGAUAUGACAGUAGUUUCCGGAGCUGCUGAUACGGGUUCGAUUCCUGUUUGAGGCGCCA
Molecule: transfer RNA, 75 nt
Filed under: Clostridiaceae bacterium
Lineage: Bacteria; Bacillati; Bacillota; Clostridia; Eubacteriales; Clostridiaceae
Description: tRNA-Arg
Rfam family: tRNA
About the family: Transfer RNA (tRNA) molecules are approximately 80 nucleotides in length. Their secondary structure includes four short double-helical elements and three loops (D, anti-codon, and T loops). Further hydrogen bonds mediate the characteristic L-shaped molecular structure. tRNAs have two regions of fundamental functional importance: the anti-codon, which is responsible for specific mRNA codon recognition, and the 3' end, to which the tRNAs corresponding amino acid is attached (by aminoacyl-tRNA synthetases). tRNAs cope with the degeneracy of the genetic code in two manners: having more than one tRNA (with a specific anti-codon) for a particular amino acid; and 'wobble' base-pairing, i.e. permitting non-standard base-pairing at the 3rd anti-codon position.
Source: RNAcentral